This 220-nucleotide unclassified non-coding RNA is filed under the name uncultured Nocardioidaceae bacterium. RNAcentral's name for it is "contains 16S-23S intergenic spacer region". Lineage: Bacteria; Bacillati; Actinomycetota; Actinomycetes; Propionibacteriales; Nocardioidaceae. The record is from RNAcentral.
UCCGAGUUGACCCCGGCAGUCUCCUAUGAGUCCCCACCAUUACGUGCUGGCAACAUAGGACGAGGGUUGCGCUCGUUGCGGGACUUAACCCAACAUCUCACGACACGAGCUGACGACAGCCAUGCACCACCUGUAUAGGGCCCUUACGGACCUGCCAUCUCUGGAGGAUUUCCCUAUAUGUCAAACCCAGGUAAGGUGGGGAUGACGUUUCCAGGUUAGG